UGUUAGGCAUACUUACGACUGGGUU
This 25-nucleotide non-coding RNA is filed under the name Rattus norvegicus (Norway rat). The record is from RNAcentral. Lineage: Eukaryota; Metazoa; Chordata; Mammalia; Rodentia; Muridae.